UAGUAUCGAAUCAACGAAAUUAAUUUAAUCAAUUAAUUGAACUCGGCUCGCUUGGUGUAGUGACUGUAUAAUCGUCAAUAACAAAUGCAAUUAAAAUGUUUUGAUCAGGUUACACUUCAUUAAUUAGGUGGGUUGAUCCAUUGAAUUUUAAUGGACGAAAAUUAAAUGAAAGAUUAAUUAAACGAUCGAUAAGUUGGAUCUGAAGUAUCGAUGUCAAUAUUGAAAAUUGUAAUUCCUUCUCGGUUUUAUCGAUAAACAUGAGACAAAAUCUAAUGAAUACUUUCCAAUUGAAACGUGAAGUAAAAUCAGAAACCUUCGGCAUGAGAAAAAAUACACGUAAUGAUAAUGCAAUCUGAUAAGCUGUAAUCUGAAGCUACUGAAGACCCAGGAAUCAAUCCUUUUAUUUGAUACAUUGACUGACGAUGAGUGUUACAUGAGCCACCAGUGAUGUUCAAAGAGGGGAGUUGAAAGAAAGUAUUUUUCGAUCAAAUUUUGAAAUAAUAUUGAAAAAGAAAAAUGAAAGUAUAAUAAAUAUAGUAUAAUGGCAGUUUUGUAUAAUUAUACAUUAGAAUUCAUUUGGAUUAUAUAUUAGGAUAAUAUAGCAUCCAGAAUUAUCUAUACUAUUUAUUAUAAAAAAUUAAUAUUGUUUGUUACUAUAUAACGAGUAUAGUAAUUUGACAGUUUUCUAUGUUGGAUUAUCUGUUAAAAAAAACAUAGCACACAGGAUUAUAUAGAUUAUUACGAGAAAUAUAUUCUGUUCAAGGUAGCAUAUUCACGAUUAAAUUAGGUUUUCCCAGGGAAAAAGAUAAUGUUCCGGGUUCUUGUCCUUCCCAGUAGGUAUUCCCAGGAAAAAUAACAAUCUAGCAGAAUCUAAAUAUGUACAGUGGGUCCAAAAAGUAUUUGUACACCAUUUAAAACAAAGUACCUCGUUUAAAAUUAGACCAAAUGACUUGAGGUUUCUCGAGAAACUAUACAAAUUAAUUUACUAACAUAAGAUAUGUGCUUUUGUCGUUUUACAAAAUUACAAUUUGUUGAAAUCGUGAAAAAAAUAGUGAAGGGCAAUUUUUCAACUUUUUUAUGUGAGUGUAUAAUGAAAAUUUAAAAUAUGUCUUUCGUAGAUUCAAAUAAAUUAGGCUGUUGCCUCUCACCACUUGUGUAUAAAUGCAUACGUAAAAACAGUUUGAAUUGAUAUUUAUUUAUUAUUCAUAUUUCUUAAUUAUAUAAUAUUUAAUAAUUACAAUUUAUAUUAUUUUUCUUUUCUAAAUUACUUUUAAUAUUAAUAUGGUAUUUUCGGAAUUUUUAUUUCCUGUAUAUCACUAGGGAAGCCUAAUUUGACCGUGAGUGUAUACAGAGGAUUACUUAUUACCUACAACAACAAAAAUUAUAUUCUAUUCAAAGUGAUUUCGAAAGAAUCUUUUUAUAUAAAAGACCUUUCUUUAUUAAAUACAUGAUUAAAAAUCAAUUUGAAUACACAGUAAACCAAUUGUUAUUUUUAGGAAGUAUAUGAAUUACUAAGGAAACUAUUAUUCUAACUGGUCUUGUCAAAUCGAAAGUGUACAGGCUUUCAGAAAUCAGUUUCUCUAAGAAAUAAUUACUGCUUUGGUAGCCAGCGGCAUUAUACAUAUAUUCAAUACUAGGUGUUUUGUUUAUGUGAUCUAGAUUAGUGAAGACGAAAUAGGAAAUAGUAUGCAGAUAGGAUACUACACAUCCUAUGGCCGCAUUUCAUAUUUUUCGCACUAGA
Osmia lignaria (orchard mason bee) is the source of this 1741-nucleotide long non-coding RNA. RefSeq lists it as uncharacterized. NCBI's taxonomy places the organism in Eukaryota, Metazoa, Arthropoda, Insecta, Hymenoptera, Megachilidae. The record is from RefSeq and is a predicted model, not a curated record.